AGUCCGUGAACAUUGCACGGAAUUCUGUGAGAUCAUGUUGGACAGAGACUGCUGGCAGCUUGUUGUGUUUUCCUCAGAAUGCGAUGCUUUCUUCCCCUCCAUCGUUUCUAAUCUCCGUAUUAUUACAGGUGCGUGUCACGUUAUUCAUGUCACAAGCGCAUGCGCACUUUGGUCAGAGCGGCAAUACUGCGAUUAAGGUGUUUACAUGCCUGUAUAUUCCGAUUAAAAUCGGCGUACGCCACCUAUGUUAAUACGAUUAUGCUUGCUGCGAUUAUGAGCUUAAUCGUAUUAUUUAGAUCGAAGUAUUGCGUUUACAUGAGGUAAAGCAUAAUCGCAAUAUCGCCAAAAUCUCAUUAUAAUCGCAUUAAGAGGGUCCAUGUAAACGCACUCACAGUUUCAAACAUUUUUGGUACAGCAUGCACAGUAAAAUCUCCAGUGUUGAAAUCCCAGUGUUAAGGACUUUUAGAGUAAAGAGUUAAAGUUGUGGUGUUGAAUUUUAAAGGAUUAACACUAGCUAGUGUAAACAGCACCCUCUGGCCGGUGUUAAUACGGAGAAUUACCCUCAUUAACACUGUUGAGAGUUAUUAGUGACAUCCGGGACAUUUUCUCGUGUGCGAGCCUAAUCUGUCUGAAAUAUUUUUCACAGACGCCAUUUUAUUUGCUCGCGAUGCGGAGCAUAUUAGGACGGAAAACAGCGAUAUAAAGUGUUUAAUCCUACUCACAAAGUGUGUUUUGUAAUAUCAUAUCGUUUUAUAAUAAUUUCAAUGUGUUGGGUGCGCCUAAAAACGUUUAUCAAUGGCAUUUCCUUUCACUCGCGAUGCGGAACAGACGAGGACUUUUCUAAAAGGGAAUAUCCGAAAAGAGAUAUUUUCUUUCUCUCGCGGUGCGAGCAGACGGGGAAGUUGGUUUUAACAAGGAAAACGCUGAAAAGAGAUAUUUUCGUUCAUGAGGAAGUUGGUUUUAACGAGGAAAACGCCAAAAAUGGUUCAUGCUGGCUUAACAGAAAAAUCAAAAGAAGAUGAUGUGCUUGAAGAGUAUGAAGCCACCAAUACAUGGGAGUCGUCCAACCUCAGUGCAGAGAGAUCAAUGUGCACUUGGAAUUGUGACUUUGUCUCUGUCGUUAGAAGACCCAUUUUCUAGGGCAGUUUUGUGAUGCUGUAAAUAGGAGUGGAUAUCUUGCUUGGCUGAAAACUGCAGAGAAACGCAUCUCAUCGUGCUGAAAAAAAGAAUGAGAGUAUUCUCUCCAAGGAGGUCCAAACACCAGCAUAGACUUUGAUUAGUGAGCAUUAACAUGCAUUCAGCUUUUAUGGUAAUGAAUGGAAUGCUGUUGUUUAACCUCCUAAAUGUCAGCAUUAUAAACCUUAUGACAUUAAUGGACCAAAUAAGAAUGUUUUUUGU
Onychostoma macrolepis is the source of this 1398-nucleotide long non-coding RNA. RefSeq lists it as uncharacterized. The transcript is spliced from 6 exons. Lineage: Eukaryota; Metazoa; Chordata; Actinopteri; Cypriniformes; Cyprinidae. The record is from RefSeq and is a predicted model, not a curated record.